This 642-nucleotide ribosomal RNA is filed under the name uncultured bacterium. Its description in RNAcentral is "bacterial SSU rRNA". It matches the Rfam family "Archaeal small subunit ribosomal RNA", at positions 654 to 1298 of the family's 1478-position model. The record is from RNAcentral.
GGACGACCAGUGGCGAAAGCGUUUAACUAGAACGAAUCUGACGGUAAGGAACGAAGGCUAGGGUAGCAAACCGGAUUAGAUACCCGGGUAGUCCUAGCUGUAAACAUUGCCCAUUUGAUGUUGCUUUUCCGUUGAGGGAAGGCAGUGUCGGAGCGAAGGUGUUAAAUGGGCCGCUUGGGAAGUAUGGUCGCAAGACUGAAACUUAAAGGAAUUGGCGGGGGAGCACCGCAACGGGAGGAAUGUGCGGUUUAAUUGGAUUCAACGCCGGAAAACUCACCGGGAACGACCUGUGCAUGAGAGUCAACCUGACGAGCUUACUCGAUAGCAGGAGAGGUGGUGCAUGGCCGUCGUCAGCUCGUACCGUAGGGCGUUCACUUAAGUGUGAUAACGAGCGAGACCCACAUCUUUAAUUGCAAAUGUAUAUGAGAAUAUGCAUGCACUUUAGAGAAACCGCCAGCGCUAAGCUGGAGGAAGGAGUGGUCGACGGCAGGUCAGUACGCCCCGAAUUUCCCGGGCUACACGCGCAUUACAAAGAACGGGACAAUACGUUGCAACCUCGAAAGAGGAAGCUAAUCGCGAAACCCGUCCAUAGUUAGGAUUGAGGGCUGUAACUCGCCCUCAUGAUCUGGAUUCCGUAGUAAU